Non-coding RNA from Bradyrhizobium sp., 52 nucleotides. Lineage: Bacteria; Pseudomonadati; Pseudomonadota; Alphaproteobacteria; Hyphomicrobiales; Nitrobacteraceae. The record is from Rfam.
GAGGCCAGAGGUCAACGCCCGACAGCGCUGUGCGCCCUCGGGCGUAAAGGUG